This 377-nucleotide ribosomal RNA is filed under the name uncultured eukaryote. RNAcentral describes it as "partial 18S ribosomal RNA". It matches the Rfam family "Eukaryotic small subunit ribosomal RNA", at positions 592 to 976 of the family's 1831-position model. The record is from RNAcentral.
CAAUAGCGUAUAUUAAAGUUGUUGCAGUUAAAAAGCUCGUAGUUGGAUUUCGGAGCCGACCGGGCGGUCUGUCGAGAGACACGCACUGCUCGGUGGCUCUUCCUCUCGGAGGCCCUGGCUGCCCUUAACUGGAGCGGGCAGGGGAUUCGGGACGUUUACUUUGAAAAAAUUAGAGUGUUCAAAGCAGGCCGGUGCUUGGAUACAUUAGCAUGGAAUAAUGGAAUAGGGCUUGGGUCCUAUUUUGUUGGUUUUCGGGACCGAGGUCAUGGUUAAGAGGGACAGUUGGGGGCAUUCGUAUUCAAUUGUCAGAGGUGAAAUUCUUGGAUUUAUGGAAGACGUACAACUGCGAAAGCAUUUGCCAAGGAUGUUUUCAUUGA